Tupaia belangeri chinensis (Chinese tree shrew) is the source of this 753-nucleotide long non-coding RNA. RefSeq lists it as uncharacterized. The record is from RefSeq and is a predicted model, not a curated record. NCBI's taxonomy places the organism in Eukaryota, Metazoa, Chordata, Mammalia, Scandentia, Tupaiidae. The transcript is spliced from 3 exons.
GUGCCCGCACUGCACGGUUGGGGUUAUGUCCCCCACUGGCCCAGAGGUGGGACCGCUGCAGUCCUGGCCUCUUGCUAGCUCCGCGAUUGAAUCCUGACCCUGGUUUGUUCUGAAGAGGAAAGAGCGAUCUAAAGGUUCUGAGCACCUAGGGAGCCUUUGCCGGCAGUCUUCACGAGCAAAACGCGCGGGCCCUGGGAAGAGAACGGGCCUCUCACUGUGCAUGGGUGCCACGCGGCUCAGCCGGGACUGGGAACCCAGCCGGUCACAUGGAGGAUCAAAAUGCUUUGCAGCAAGGUCAGCUCCUCCUGCUGCCCCGCUUCUCGUUACUUCCAUGAGUGAAGUCUGACUUUUUAGGUGCGAGUUUGCAGCAACAUGACCUGGAGCGCCACCUGCUGGUCACAGCUGAAACGCUUGGGUUUGCAUGUGGGCCAUCACCCAGCACCUGACUGAGACCAGCAUCCUGGAGUUGGAGCUGCCUUCGGUUGUGGCAGGGAACAGGUUCCAGCCUGCAGGUGGUGACCCAGCCCGUCCUCAGCUCCAUCUACAAUUCCUCCCGGCCCUGCCCAGCAUAGCCCGAGCAGACCAUGGCUGCCGUCCUGUCCUUUGGAGGGCAAUGAAGAGGCCUGGUCACUCCAGCGCACUCCUUUGGGAGGUGGUGAUUAGAACCUUCUCUGGGGCUGGCUCAGUGACCUAGUGGUUAAGGGAGCUGGCUCCCACGUGGCUGCCCACAGUUUGACUCCCGGCCCCGGUGGC